Molecule: long non-coding RNA, 398 nt
Organism: Maniola jurtina (meadow brown)
Lineage: Eukaryota; Metazoa; Arthropoda; Insecta; Lepidoptera; Nymphalidae
Exons: 3
Source: RefSeq, a predicted model, not a curated record
ACUAAAAUAUUGAUUUUUGAUCACAUUAAUGAGUAAAAAAAAAACUGUUACCAAUUUUUGCAAAUUAUGUGGCUAGUUUAACACAAUUUUUUGUAUGGAAUAAAGCAUAACUUCAUUCAAAAAUUUAUGUGAAGAUAAACUAUGUUCUUUAACGAAUCUAUUUAUGUAGUUUUGGUAACAAUCCAUUAAUUUUAUCUAACAUAAAAAUAAUAAUAAACAUCACUCCAAAUUGCAAUAAGCAGCCACGCAAUAAACAAAAUAGUCUUUUUAAAUAUGAUACAUUAAAUGUCAAUACGAAAAAUUGGUUUAUUUUAAAUAUGUGUUCAAUUAUGUGAAAGAUUUUCCUAUUGUGGUAAAUUUAGCAAAAUUUUUUGAUUUUUGGACUUUUGAACUUUAUA